This 378-nucleotide ribosomal RNA is filed under the name uncultured bacterium. RNAcentral describes it as "bacterial SSU rRNA". It matches the Rfam family "Bacterial small subunit ribosomal RNA", at positions 796 to 1174 of the family's 1533-position model. The record is from RNAcentral.
CUGGCCCUAAACGAUGAAUGCUUGGUGUGGCGGGUAUCGAUCCCUGCCGUGCCGAAGCUAACGCAUUAAGCAUUCCGCCUGGGGAGUACGGUCGCGAGGCUGAAACUCAAAGGAAUUGACGGGGGCCCGCACAAGCGGUGGAGCAUGUGGUUCAAUUCGACGCAACGCGAAGAACCUUACCCAGGCUUGAACAGCGAGUGACCACUCCUGAAAGGGAGCUUCCGCAAGGACACUCGUAGAGGUGCUGCAUGGCUGUCGUCAGCUCGUGUCGUGAGAUGUUGGGUUAAGUCCCGCAACGAGCGCAACCCUUGUCUUCUGUUGCCAUCAGGUUAUGCUGGGCACUCUGGAGAGACUGCCGGUGAUAAACCGGAGGAAGGU